AAACACGUUCAACUAGUUUGUGUCUACUUGGGAGUAAAAUUCCUGAUUGGUUUAGCUAUCAAAGUUCAGGAUCUUCAAUAGCUAUUGUGCUACCUCAGCAUUGGUGCAAUAAAAAGUUCAUUGGAUUUGCUCUGUGUGUUGUUAUUGCAUUUGAGGGGAGUUAUUGUGGUCGUGGUCUCUAUGCUGGUUCUUCUUAAUCACCAGUUUCAAACCAAUGAUAAUCAAUGGGAUCACUUUAUAUUUGGAUUGAACCUUUCUAUUACUGGUAGGUGGCCUAUCGCAUUUAUUGAUCUUGAACACAUUGUACUGGGUAUAGUCUUGUUCGGGUUCUUAAGGGAGAAUAUACAACUGCCUCUUUUAAGUUCUGUCCAUCUAUCUAUGGUUACAAAGGCCUUGUAAAAGGUUGCAAGGCGAAAUGUUGUGGGGUAUCUCUACUAUAUAUACAGCCCAAUGUGAUCCACUCUGACCUUUCUAUCAAGAAUUUGGCUCAUAUGAUAACAACAGUGGAUCACCUUAAAACUAGGAAGUGCCAUGCUGAUUACAACCCUAAUCAGACUAAUUCAACUGAAAUUAGAAGUGGAGGAACUGAUAAUGAGUUAGAGCCAUAUAAAAGAGUUUGCAAAAUUUGAAAUCAAUGCUUGUUGAUUGUGACUCUUCUACAAUUAGACUUUUGGGUCUUUGUCUGACUAUCAAAUCUAUUUAUGGUUUCUCUAUCGACUUCUGGUUGAAGAAACAUGCAAUCGUAUUUGAUUCUUGCAGACUCUAAUGGACCUAUGAUUGGUCAAUUUCUUUGAUUAUGAAAAGGACAAGCAUUUUGUUCUGUGUGGUGGAGGGACAAUUACUGGUUUUGAUUCUCUGUGGAAACCCGAUUGCAAAAUUGCCUAAUAGCAGGUGGCUUGCUUGUACAACGGAUCCCUAGGCUGAAUACUCGACUCAUUUCAUCCAAAUAGCAAGCUUCUUUGAUCUCCUCAUCCAAAGCAUCGAUAAUAGGGUUGCCAUUUUGAAGAUGUCGCCAUGCCCAUUUGACGAGGAUAUUGCUUGAUUUCACAUCCCGAUGGACAAUGGGCGGGCAGCAGUCAUGAUGCAUGUAACAGAGUCCCUUGGCAGCUCCCACUGCAAUCUGCAUCCUCUUGGGCCAGUCCAGGGCAAAAUCAUCGAUUGAGC
Long non-coding RNA from Mangifera indica (mango), 1164 nucleotides. RefSeq lists it as uncharacterized. The record is from RefSeq and is a predicted model, not a curated record. The transcript is spliced from 4 exons. Lineage: Eukaryota; Viridiplantae; Streptophyta; Magnoliopsida; Sapindales; Anacardiaceae.